RNAcentral lists this ribosomal RNA (541 nucleotides) under uncultured bacterium. RNAcentral describes it as "partial 16S ribosomal RNA". It matches the Rfam family "Bacterial small subunit ribosomal RNA", at positions 355 to 905 of the family's 1533-position model. The record is from RNAcentral.
UGGGGAAUAUUGCACAAUGGGCGAAAGCCUGAUGCAGCGACGCCGCGUGAGGGAUGACGGCCUUCGGGUUGUAAACCUCUUUCAGCAGGGAAGAAGCGAAAGUGACGGUACCUGCAGAAGAAGCGCCGGCUAACUACGUGCCAGCAGCCGCGGUAAUACGUAGGGCGCAAGCGUUGUCCGGAAUUAUUGGGCGUAAAGAGCUCGUAGGCGGUUAGUCGCGUCUGCUGUGAAAAUCUCGAGGCUCAACCUCGGGCUUGCAGUGGGUACGGGCUGACUAGAGUGCGGUAGGGGUGACUGGAAUUCCUGGUGUAGCGGUGGAAUGCGCAGAUAUCAGGAGGAACACCGAUGGCGAAGGCAGGUCACUGGGCCGCAACUGACGCUGAGGAGCGAAAGCAUGGGGAGCGAACAGGAUUAGAUACCCUGGUAGUCCAUGCCGUAAACGUUGGGCACUAGGUGUGGGGUCCAUUCCACGGAUUCCGUGCCGCAGCAAACGCAUUAAGUGCCCCGCCUGGGGAGUACGGCCGCAAGGCUAAAACUUAAA